AGCCGGGUCCAAGGCAAUAAAGACUCACGAACCCCGUCAGAUCCGGGAGGAAGCAGCGGUAGUGAUAAUCUUUCUGUGCUGCGGGUAGCCCGGCUAUC
RNAcentral lists this signal recognition particle RNA (98 nucleotides) under Desulfobulbaceae bacterium. RNAcentral's name for it is "signal recognition particle sRNA small type". It matches the Rfam family "Bacterial small signal recognition particle RNA". From Rfam's summary of the family: The signal recognition particle (SRP) is a universally conserved ribonucleoprotein involved in the co-translational targeting of proteins to membranes. Archaeal SRP consists of a 7S RNA and homologues of the eukaryotic SRP19 and SRP54 proteins. Lineage: Bacteria; Pseudomonadati; Thermodesulfobacteriota; Desulfobulbia; Desulfobulbales; Desulfobulbaceae. The record is from RNAcentral.